Non-coding RNA from Odocoileus virginianus texanus, 1254 nucleotides. NCBI's taxonomy places the organism in Eukaryota, Metazoa, Chordata, Mammalia, Artiodactyla, Cervidae. The record is from RefSeq and is a predicted model, not a curated record.
ACAGAGAGGGAGGAGGUCAGCUCUGUGCCAAGAGGACUCUGACGGGAGGCAGCAGAGCAAACCCACUGGGGCCACCACCCACCCGGCUUCCUGGACCACUCCCAUGAGUGCCGCCCCUCCCUGGGGUCGUGGGAUUUCCUUCUUUUCUAGUCUGAGGGAGGUGAAGAGGGAAGUGGUCAGGCGGAGAGAGGGAGCAGCCUUGGAGUCAGACUGGGGCUGAAAUUCCUGCUCUGCCUCCAGACACUAAGAGCUGUGGGUUGCCACUUUGGGUCAGAUUCACAGCUCUCACAGUGGAGACAAGGCAGUACUGGAGCAGGAAGGAAGUGAGGAGACAACAGGGCACCAGAGGAGGCAGAGAGCCCAUGCAGGUGCAAGGUGCUAUUCCACACAGACAGGCUUGGUCUUCAGUGCAUACCUGUGUCUCCUGGUGACCUGACUCCCACCCUGGAACAGUGUGGAAGGUUUACUGGGGCUGGGAUAUAAGUGGAUCAUGAGAAGUAAGAGGGUAUUAACACCCACCCCCAACUUCCCCAGGCCUGGCCUCCUCCUUCCUGUGUUGCAAAAUAUCUUCCUCCCUUCUUUCAUCAAAACCCCAUUCCUUCAGUACAGUGAUUCUCAACUAGAAGGGAUUUUGCACCCAUGGGACAUUUGUCAAUAUCUGGAGACAUUCGUAGUGAUUCUAACCGGGGACUGGAGUGCAACCAGCGUCUCCUGUGAGUAGAGGCCGGAGGUGUUGCUGAACCCAACAAGGCACAGGACAGCUUGCCGCAUCAGAGAAUUAUCCAGCCCAAAAUGUCACCAGGACUGAAACUGAAAACCUUGCUGGCAUGUACUGACAUCACAGCUGUAUGAUUGAAAAGCAUCUGUUUGAACUGAUUCACAAUAUGGUUUGAAUGGCUGAUAAUCUACAUAUAACCUUCCAGGGUCAAUUGGUUUUUAAAAGAGGUUUUCACUUUUUGGCAAGCACUCAUAUGGGUUAAAUACAAAUGCAAAAGGAAGAGAAGACUUUUGAGAAGCUACGGGGAGCAAUGUUUUAUAUGUAUGUGUUGGGGAGGCCCUCCUGGCUAUUCCUUCAUUCUUAUCAUGAAGGCAUCUACCUACUUGUUCCAGGGGUAGAAAGACCAGUCUUGUGCACUCAUCCUGGCAAGAGUUGAAAUACGGACCACGUCACAAAAAUACAAAGACAAGUGUUAACAAUUCCACUUAGGUACCUAGAGUAGUCAAAUUUGUACAUAUAGAAAGUAGAACAGUGGU